This 461-nucleotide ribosomal RNA is filed under the name uncultured bacterium. RNAcentral's name for it is "partial 16S ribosomal RNA". It matches the Rfam family "Bacterial small subunit ribosomal RNA", at positions 339 to 795 of the family's 1533-position model. The record is from RNAcentral.
CUACGGGGCGCUGCAGUUAAGAAUCUUCCGCAAUGGACGAAAGUCUGACGGAGCGACGCCGCGUGCGGGAUGAAGGCCUUCGGGUUGUAAACCGCUGUCAGUGGGGAGGAAAUGCAUCAGGGUUCUCCCUGGUGUUUGACCGAUCCGCAGAGGAAGCGCAGGCUAAGUUCGUGCCAGCAGCCGCGGUAACACGAACUGCGCGAACGUUAUUCGGAAUCACUGGGCUUAAAGAGUUCGUAGGCGGCCUUUCAAGUCGGGUGUGAAAUCCCUCGGCUCAACCGAGGAAUUGCGCCUGAUACUGUUGGGCUUGAGGGGGAUAGGGGUGAGCGGAACUGAUGGUGGAGCGGUGAAAUGCGUUGAUAUCAUCAGGAACACCGGUGGCGAAGGCGGCUCACUGGAUCUCUUCUGACGCUGAGGAACGAAAGCUAGGGGAGCGAACGGGAUUAGAUACCCGUGUAGUC